UCCCCGAGCACCCCCCUCUUCCUCUUCACCCAGAGACCGACAUCCAUCACUAGGAGUCUAUGAAGAGUCGAAAGGGACUCUCCCGCGAUAACCUUGCAGUCCUUGCACAUACCCCUAUCGCUCCUUCUGAGGAGGAGGUAAUCAAUCUGUGUCCUCGCCGCCGAACUCUUGAAGGUGACCAAAUGCUCGUCCCUCUUCUGAAAUUUCGAGUUCGCAAUCAGAAGCUCGGAAGCCCUGGCGAAAUCAAGCAGUGACGUGCCUCCUCCGUUCAGGCGAAAUCAAGCAGUGACGUGCCUCCUUCGUUCCUAACCCCAAAGCCGAAGCCACCGUGCAACUCAC
This 339-nucleotide long non-coding RNA is filed under the name Nicotiana benthamiana. RNAcentral's name for it is "long non-coding RNA (NBEN_LNC031362)". The record is from RNAcentral. Lineage: Eukaryota; Viridiplantae; Streptophyta; Magnoliopsida; Solanales; Solanaceae.